GGGGCUGAAUGGAUUUGACAGCAAGUAUUAUUUUAUAAUAAGCAUAUCGAGUAUUGUAUUUUAACUCGUUAAUAAAUAAAAUUCACUUUUUAAUUGGCGAUAAUAAUUACGCUUUAGCGGCCUAAUUUAUAUAAUUAGCUACGCUUUUGUCUCUUUUAAAGGAUCCUCCUGAUUCCUUUAAAAAAUGAGGCAUAAUUAACUUCAGGAUAGUUUAUUUAUCUCUUCUGUAAAUAAAUGAAAUUUAUGAAGAUAAGGAUAUGGAUUGGUUGCUUCUCUCCUACCAUUUCUCGAAAAAUAAAAGAAGAUAAAUAUGUAGAAAAUUAUUUAAUUGCUUGUUUGGACGUGGGUUCGAAACCCACCAGCUCCACUA
RNAcentral lists this transfer-messenger RNA (370 nucleotides) under Flavobacteriales. RNAcentral's name for it is "GCA-2693335 sp002724895 Standard tmRNA". It matches the Rfam family "transfer-messenger RNA". Rfam says of the family: Bacterial tmRNA, also known as 10Sa RNA or SsrA, is named for its dual tRNA and mRNA-like properties. Its role is to liberate the mRNA from a stalled ribosome. To accomplish this part of the tmRNA is used as a reading frame that ends in a translation stop signal. The record is from RNAcentral. RNAcentral also lists the same sequence under 1 other name. Lineage: Bacteria; Pseudomonadati; Bacteroidota; Flavobacteriia.